This 396-nucleotide long non-coding RNA is filed under the name Manihot esculenta (cassava). RNAcentral's name for it is "long non-coding RNA (MESC_LNC003917)". The record is from RNAcentral. Lineage: Eukaryota; Viridiplantae; Streptophyta; Magnoliopsida; Malpighiales; Euphorbiaceae.
CCCACUUUAGAUCUCACUUCUUCUCAAACCACUCUUCCACUCUACUUAUACUUUCUUCAAUUUGCAGCUAAGCUAAAAUGAGGCUCUUCUUUGCUACUCUGCUUCUUUGCGCACUCCUCCUAAGCUCAUCUUUCUUGGAACCUGUCAUAGCCAAGUCCUGUAAGUGCUUUAACAAAUUGGGAAUUCUAGUUAAAAAAAAAGUGCAUCAAAAUUUGUAGUGAAACACUAGAAUUUCGCUGCAAAUAUCAAACAUCGUACUGUGGAAUAGGAUGUAGUGAAACACUAGAAUUUUUUAUUCAACAAAAGGAUCAAGUUCUUUUAGUGAAGACUGGCUUCUCGUUUCUUUUAUAGAUGGCUAUUAGCUCGAGUUUUCUUCAUUUCCUUUCUCAUUUUGGU